AACGCGAAGAACCUUACCUGGGCUCGAACGGCUUUGGAUCGACGGUGGAAACACUGUUUUCCCGCAAGGGACCGGAGUCGAGGUGCUGCAUGGCUGUCGUCAGCUCGUGUCGUGAGAUGUUGGGUUAAGUCCCGCAACGAGCGCAACCCUUGUCCUGUGUUGCCACUCCGUAAGGAAGCACUCUCAGGAGACCGCCAGCGAUAAGUUGGAGGAAGGUGGGGAUGAUGUCAAGUCAUCAUGGCCUUUAUGUCCAGGGCUACACACGUGCUACAAUGGUCGGUACAAAGCGCUGCAAACCCGCGAGGGGGAGCUAAUCGCAAAAAGCCGGCCUCAGUUCGGAUUGCAGGCUGCAACUCGCCUGCAUGAAGCUGGAAUCGCUAGUAAUGCCGUAUCAGAAUGAUGGCGUGAAUACGUUCCCGGGCCUUGUA
RNAcentral lists this ribosomal RNA (428 nucleotides) under uncultured Acidobacterium sp. Its description in RNAcentral is "bacterial SSU rRNA". It matches the Rfam family "Bacterial small subunit ribosomal RNA", at positions 958 to 1385 of the family's 1533-position model. The record is from RNAcentral. Lineage: Bacteria; Pseudomonadati; Acidobacteriota; Terriglobia; Terriglobales; Acidobacteriaceae.